CCUCUCCCUCCAAGUCUGGCACUGAACGCGAACUGUUUUGCUUUGCUCCGGGAAGAGUGCAGACACAUAACGUGGAAUCCCGAGCUUUUUGCGUGGUGCAUUUAAAAUGCUUCCUUAUUUGUAUUACCCUCAUUCCCUCACCUCUCCCACCCCCUCACCAGUCCUUCCAAAUUUCCCUAGAAAUCUAUGUAAAGCGUGCGGAGGGGAAACAUUUGCACAAAAAGUGAAGGAGCUCGCCAAGGUAGUCAGACCUGUCCUGACAGCCGGAGGCCUACGUGAGGGGUGGCCACGGAAGGAGGGGGUCUCAGAGGCCACAGGAACUGAAGAAUCUGAACACAUGAGCUCCGGAGUCCCCGGAAAAUGUCAAGUUUUAUCUUCUGAAGAAACUUGGAGACUUUUGUAAAGGUGAAACUUUUCAUCUUUAGGACUGAACACCUUCUCAACUGAACUUAAAGGAGAGAUUAAGUACAAUGUUUUGAGCUAUGUUUAAAUGAAGAUGAGCUGGAAGAAGACAGAACUGUUAAAAAUACGUAAGUUUUAUUAUGUAACCAAAUGAAGGAUUCGGCUCUUUUGUAACGGUAUUCUUAAAAAUUCCUAGCUUCUAUGAAAUUCCCUAGUUAUGGAAUUUUCUUUCAUUAUAUUGAGCUACUCCUGAUUCCAUCAUGAAAAUCUGAUCUGAAACUCAAUUUACAGACAUACUGAAAAUGAAUUUGAAAUUAAAUGAGACCAUCUGUAUACUAAUAUGAUGCAAUAUUGUUGAUUCACAUUUUUCCAUAUUAAAGACUGUUCUGAACUCUAAAUCUUUUAAAUAAAUGAGACCGAAAUUUAA
Non-coding RNA from Leptonychotes weddellii (Weddell seal), 829 nucleotides. NCBI's taxonomy places the organism in Eukaryota, Metazoa, Chordata, Mammalia, Carnivora, Phocidae. The record is from RefSeq and is a predicted model, not a curated record.